UCAGGACGAACGCUGGCGGCGUGCUUAACACAUGCAAGUCGAACGGGGAUAUUAUUGGAAGGGUUUCGGGCCUGGAAGGUGAUAUUCGAGUGGCGGACGGGUGAGUAACGCGUGAGCAAUCUGUCCCAGACAGGGGGAUAACACUUGGAAACAGGUGCUAAUACCGCAUAAGACCACGGCAUCACAUGGUGCAGGGGUAAAAGGAGGAAUCCGGUUUGGGGUGAGCUCGCGUCCGAUUAGCCAGUUGGCGGGGUAACGGCCCACCAAAGCGACGAUCGGUAGCCGAUCUGAGAGGAUGACCGGCCACAUUGGAACUGAGAGACGGUCCAAACUCCUACGGGAGGCAGCAGUGGGGAAUAUUGGGCAAUGGGCGAAAGCCUGACCCAGCAACGCCGCGUGAAGGAUGAAGUAUUUCGGUAUGUAAACUUCUAUCAGCAAGGAAGAAAAUGACGGUACUUGACUAAGAAGCCCCGGCUAAAUACGUGCCAGCCGCCGC
Molecule: ribosomal RNA, 496 nt
Filed under: uncultured bacterium
Lineage: Bacteria
Description: bacterial SSU rRNA
Rfam family: Bacterial small subunit ribosomal RNA
Source: RNAcentral